UAACGUCUCAGUUCAGAUUGCAGGCUGCAACUCGCCUGCAUGAAGUCGGAAUUGCUGUAAUCGCAGAUCAGCAUGCUGCGGUGAAUACGUUCCCGGGCCUUGUACACACCGCCCGUCACACCAUGGGAGUCGGUAACACCCGAAGUCGGUAGCCUAACCGUAAGGAGGGCGCCGCCGUAGGUGGGAUUGAUGACUGGGGUGAAGUCGUAACAAGGUACC
RNAcentral lists this ribosomal RNA (219 nucleotides) under uncultured bacterium. RNAcentral describes it as "partial 16S ribosomal RNA". It matches the Rfam family "Bacterial small subunit ribosomal RNA", at positions 1281 to 1500 of the family's 1533-position model. The record is from RNAcentral.